RNAcentral lists this ribosomal RNA (492 nucleotides) under uncultured bacterium. Its description in RNAcentral is "partial 16S ribosomal RNA". It matches the Rfam family "Bacterial small subunit ribosomal RNA", at positions 29 to 507 of the family's 1533-position model. The record is from RNAcentral.
AGUGAACGCUGGCGGUAGGCCUAACACAUGCAAGUCGAACGGCAGCACAGUAAGAGCUUGCUCUUACGGGUGGCGAGUGGCGGACGGGUGAGGAAUACAUCGGAAUCUACUUUUUCGUGGGGGAUAACGUAGGGAAACUUACGCUAAUACCGCAUACGACCUACGGGUGAAAGCAGGGGAUCUUCGGACCUUGCGCGAUUGAAUGAGCCGAUGUCGGAUUAGCUAGUUGGCGGGGUAAAGGCCCACCAAGGCGACGAUACGUAGCUGGUCUGAGAGGAUGAUCAGCCACACUGGAACUGAGACACGGUCCAGACUCCUACGGGAGGCAGCAGUAGGGAAUAUUGGACAAUGGGCGCAAGCCUGAUGCAGCCAUGCCGCGUGAGUGAAGAAGGCCUUCGGGUUGUAAAGCUCUUUUGUUGGGAAAGAACAGCAGCAGGUUAAUACCCCGCUGUUCUGACGGUACCCAAAGAAUAAGCACCGGCUAACUUCGUG